Protobothrops mucrosquamatus (brown spotted pit viper) is the source of this 717-nucleotide long non-coding RNA. RefSeq lists it as uncharacterized. The record is from RefSeq and is a predicted model, not a curated record. NCBI's taxonomy places the organism in Eukaryota, Metazoa, Chordata, Lepidosauria, Squamata, Viperidae. The transcript is spliced from 3 exons.
AAAAAAGGCUGACUUACAAAUAAGUCACAUAUAGGAGAGAUACGAGCACUGAAUCCCCUUUACCAGGUUAGGUUUUUAUCUCAGACAAAUCUACCAGGAUCUAUGAUCUGUUAAUGUCCGUUUUAUAUUAUUACUGUACUUUUUUAACACGAUCCCAAAUUUUCUUGGUUCAUGGCACUGUAUUUCCAUGAACUAUAUAACAGUGAUGUGUUUGUUAAUGAAACUAUUGUAGGUUUUGAUGUCAUUAUAGGUAAAAUAGAGGCAUAGUGACCUAGCAGUUACGAUGCUGAGCUUGUCAGCUGGAACGAUGACAAUUCAAGACAGAGGCAUUGCAAGACGGGGGAAACAUAAAAUGAAGCUUUCUGGUAUCUUUAUGGUGGAGCUGAAACAGUGGUUGAAUCUCCAAAUCAAGCAAUGAUGGGCAGGAGAAUAAAGAUUCCUAUGAACAGUUCCAAGGGAUCACUGCUGGAGACAGAAUGGAGACAUCUGCAAUUGGAAUAGAAGUAGAAAAAUAUGCGAAAAAACAGUCUGACAAUUGGAAUCAGGAAAGUUCAUCUACCACUGCUGCACCAAUGUAAGACUUUGUGGUCCCACAAGGAAAAAUAAAGAUAUAUAUUGGGAAACAAAUCAAAGACAAAUUAGACGCAAAUGGAUGCUAUCCAGCCCAAAUUAACAAAGAGAACAUAUUCAGAGACAAUGGAAAAAAAAUUACAACUG